UACACUCCUACGGGAGGCAGCAGUGGGGAAUUUUGGACAAUGGGCGAAAGCCUGAUCCAGCAAUGCCGCGUGAGUGAAGAAGGCCUUCGGGUUGUAAAGCUCUUUUGUCAGGGAAGAAACGGUGAAAGCUAAUAUCUUUUGCUAAUGACGGUACCUGAAGAAUAAGCACCGGCUAACUACGUGCCAGCAGCCGCGGUAAUACGUAGGGUGCAAGCGUUAAUCGGAAUUACUGGGCGUAAAGCGUGCGCAGGCGGUUUUGUAAGUCUGAUGUGAAAUCCCCGGGCUCAACCUGGGAAUUGCAUUGGAGACUGCAAGGCUAGAAUCUGGCAGAGGGGGGUAGAAUUCCACGUGUAGCAGUGAAAUGCGUAGAUAUGUGGAGGAACACCGAUGGCGAAGGCAGCCCCCUGGGUCAAGAUUGACGCUCAUGCACGAAAGCGUGGGGAGCAAACAGGAUUAGAAACCCCAGUAGUCCCAUGAU
Molecule: ribosomal RNA, 478 nt
Filed under: uncultured organism
Description: partial 16S ribosomal RNA
Rfam family: Bacterial small subunit ribosomal RNA
Source: RNAcentral